Molecule: transfer RNA, 63 nt
Filed under: Planocera reticulata
Lineage: Eukaryota; Metazoa; Platyhelminthes; Polycladida; Planoceridae
Description: tRNA-Lys
Source: RNAcentral
AAUCUGAAAGCGAAAAAGAGCAGCAGAUUCUUACUCUGUAGGUGAAUUUAUAUUCUCAGAUUA